UUGGGGGAGGCAGCAGUGGGGAAUAUUGCACAAUGGGCGAAAGCCUGAUGCAGCGACGCCGCGUGGGGGAUGACGGUCUUCGGAUUGUAAACCCCUUUCAGUAGGGACGAAGCGCAAGUGACGGUACCUGCAGAAGAAGCACCGGCUAACUACGUGCCAGCAGCCGCGGUAAUACGUAGGGUGCGAGCGUUGUCCGGAAUUACUGGGCGUAAAGAGCUCGUAGGCGGUUUGUCACGUCGUCUGUGAAAUCCCUCGGCUUAACCGGGGGCGUGCAGGCGAUACGGGCAGACUUGAGUACUACAGGGGAGACUGGAAUUCCUGGUGUAGCGGUGAAAUGCGCAGAUAUCAGGAGGAACACCGGUGGCGAAGGCGGGUCUCUGGGUAGUAACUGACGCUGAGGAGCGAAAGCAUGGGUAGCGAACAGGAUUAGAUACCCUGGUAGUCCAUGCCGUAAACGGUGGGCGCUAGGUGUGGGGUCCUUCCACGGACUCCGUGCCGUAGCUAACGCAUUAAGCGCCCCGCCUGGGGAGUACGGCCGCAAGGCUAAAACUCAAAGGAAUUGACGGGGGCCCGCACAAGCGGCGGAGCAUGUGGAUUAAUUCGAUGCAACGCGAAGAACCUUACCUAGGCUUGACAUAUACAGGACGACGGCAGAGAUGUCGUUUCCCUUGUGGCUUGUAUACAGGUGC
RNAcentral lists this ribosomal RNA (689 nucleotides) under Dietzia sp. RNAcentral describes it as "bacterial SSU rRNA". It matches the Rfam family "Bacterial small subunit ribosomal RNA", at positions 339 to 1041 of the family's 1533-position model. Lineage: Bacteria; Bacillati; Actinomycetota; Actinomycetes; Mycobacteriales; Dietziaceae. The record is from RNAcentral.